RNAcentral lists this long non-coding RNA (1821 nucleotides) under Nicotiana tabacum (common tobacco). Its description in RNAcentral is "long non-coding RNA (NTAB_LNC006324)". Lineage: Eukaryota; Viridiplantae; Streptophyta; Magnoliopsida; Solanales; Solanaceae. The record is from RNAcentral.
UUGUCGUGCAGGGGGAAUAUUUCCCUAGGAAUGCUGAUGUUAGAAUGUUCACUUAGUUCCAAAAUUUCAUGGAGGUAUGUAUGAAUCGCAUUAAGAAAAGAAGUGACGAAAUAUUCAUGGAUAUGUAUGCAUUCUUCGAUGUGUGACUGAAGACGUAAAGUUUCAAAUCUAUAUCUGUUUUUUUUGUUAUGAGUCAUAUGUCUAGAACGCUGUUCAUUUUUCCAGUCUAUGCUCUUUUGUAUUUAUAUUCAUUCCUUUUUGGGCUCGGUUCGUUAGCAUAUUUAUCAAUGAAAAUUAUGACUAUUCCCCAGGUCCUUUUUUAUUUGUGGAGUAAUCUGUUGAAUGUUGCUUAACUUUGAUGCAUUGAUAUUUUUAGAUUGUUUUAGAUAUUUUCUACAGAUGUGUUAAACAGUACAUUUUCUUUCUUUUUUCUUGUGAUCUGCAGAAGUUGUACAAAAAUAUUUAUAUAUAGUAGCCAUUAGACAUAAUUCUCCUAACUUUUUUAAGGCAAAGUUGCAUCGUUCUUUCUCCUUCUCUUAUCUUCUUAGAACAUAUAUAAGAAUAUUUUGGUUUGCAGAGUCACUUUACUACAAGCCAGCAUGGCAUUUUAUUGUAGCUACUUCAAAAAUACUUAUGCAUAGUCCAAUCCUUGAUUGUAUAGGUACUAAAAAUAUUAUUUUAUUUUAAAAUUGUGUUACUUUUAGGUGUUUUUUGGAAUCUCUUUUUUGUUUUGACUUGCAUCAUUACUAUUACUAAGUAAAAUAGUACAAAAGAGGGUUUCCCUUUUUUUUUUCUUUUUGAUAUGUAGAAGCAAUACAAAAAUAUCAUAGCAGUCAUUAGACAUAUUUCUCCUAACUAACUUUUUGAAGCAAGAUUGUUGUUUUAACUCCUUUUUUAUAAUGACUUUGCUUAGCUUAGCUUUUCAUCUUGCAAAUUAAGGACUGAUAAUAGAAAUGAAACCUGUACAUGGAUUAAGAUUGUACUGCUAUAUAGGAAUUAAGAUUGCACUGCUACUAUUAAGAAACGCCUAGUCGUAAGAAAGGGUCGAAGUUCAAAGUUUUGAAGCUACAUGGAAAUAUCAUUAUUCUUUAAACAUUAAAUACUUAUAGGAGUUGUUUGACUUAAAAUCUUCUAUUGUUUUAUGCCUCUUAAUUUAUCAUUAUUCUAACAGAAGUAAUAAAUAAUUGAUAGUGAAUGAUAGUUGAAAUAUAGUAUUCCAUCAAUAGGAUUUAAAAAUAUAACUUCCAGCUAAAAGUUUAUGUUUAUUUUUUUCUUUUGAUUUUCCUUUUUCUCCUAUAAAAGGAAUUGCUUAUUAAGAUAUGAAUUUGAUCAUGCAGGCUGUAACUAUAUAUUCCUGAUUUAUAAUAUUGCAGUUGCAGCAGUAAGUGCUGACUUCUAUUAAAGCAAUUCAUUUGCUUCAUGUUUUUAGUAUUCCAAAUAGACGAGGGUGAUGUAAAUCUUAUAUUCUAGACUGGAUCGCAAAUGUAGUCUUACAGUAUUUGUCCUUUAAUCAUGUUUUUUGCUUUCUACAAAUUGCAGAGUAUUUCUUGCAAACAAGUACUAUUCUUUCAGCGUUAGUCGAUAUCCUUGAUGAAGAUAGGGUCUGAAAGACAAUUGUAAAUGUUGAAUAAUUUACUAGAGAUUUAUCUUCUCCGAUAAAUUAUAUAUAUUCUUUGAUAUCGGAUAGACUCCAUAUGCCACUAACAGCUUUUGUGGUUACAAGAUUCAGAGUAGACUAUAUCUUUCAAUAUAGCAGACUAUUGUAAGCACGUGAUUUUUGCCCUAUAUGAGAAUUACUCCCAAAAAAUUCAAAAAUAAAAU